Non-coding RNA from Potamilus streckersoni, 77 nucleotides. The record is from the annotation of a GenBank genome assembly. Lineage: Eukaryota; Metazoa; Mollusca; Bivalvia; Unionida; Unionidae.
GACCGCUCCGGUGGCCUAGUGGUUAGAGUGUCCGCUUCGGAUGCGUGAGGUUGUGGGUUCGAUCCCCGGCCGAGUCA